AUGUUGGCGACAUAGACCCCGUAUACGAACCAACAGAGAAACAAUAGUCAUUUUCAUUAUUUUCCUUGGGUUCUUUCAGGUUUGCAGCCAAACGACUAGAAAUUGAGGUUGUUUCAUCAUCCGUCUCAUCAUCUAACAAUUCACUUUCAGAUUCACUGAAAAUCCUUCUGAAACCUUUGCCAUUUGUUCUGCGAAGUCGACCUUUGUCCACUGAUCUUCAGAAUUCUUGUUCUGGUCAGUUGAACCCUCAGCUGGUCCUUCUUGAAACUGGUGUGCAUAUGAAAUCAAUACAUAGCACAAGAUAGAGAAUAACCUUUCAAGGUUAGCAAUGAAAAUUAUAAAGAAAAUAACAAUAUUCGUCGUGAAGUGGAUAUAUAACUUCUUUUAAGUCCUGGAUUCGUUUAUAAAUCACUUUCCGUCCUAUAAAAGCAAGUGUGCUUCAUGCAACACUUCUGUGGAAUACGCAAAAAUUUUGAAUUAGUGGGUUCUGCUCUCUAUACUUGCACGUGCACCCGCUCACACAUGUACACAUAUAUGUAGUCCGAGUUAGAUGCAAUUGAUUCUCUCCUAUUCGUAUCUAGUCUAAGGUUGUCACUGAUUUGAGGAGGAAGAAACAGAUAGUGAAUGGCAGGAAUAUUGAUUCUCUCCUAUUCGUAUCUAGUCUAAGUCUGUCACUGCUUCGAUGAUGGCACAAAAUCUUCAUAUACUUGAGUUGGUACAGCAGUUGUAGCUCCCUUUAAAUCCAUUUUUUGUGUUUCUUUUCUUACUUUUGCUAGUAUGCAAUCUUUCCCUUUAUCCUUUGUUCUUUGUUCUUGUUGAUGGAAAGGAUGAAGCUGUAGUGUAUAUAUACACACAGAAAGUCCUCAAAGAAAACUUUCUUGAGAUGCUCU
Molecule: long non-coding RNA, 890 nt
Organism: Nicotiana attenuata
Lineage: Eukaryota; Viridiplantae; Streptophyta; Magnoliopsida; Solanales; Solanaceae
Exons: 2
Source: RefSeq, a predicted model, not a curated record